Zea mays is the source of this 833-nucleotide long non-coding RNA. RefSeq lists it as uncharacterized. The record is from RefSeq and is a predicted model, not a curated record. Lineage: Eukaryota; Viridiplantae; Streptophyta; Magnoliopsida; Poales; Poaceae. The transcript is spliced from 2 exons.
GCGCUGACGCCGGGCCCCCACCGACCAGUCACACGGAUUACGCCAACUCUUCUCCCUCGGCGCCGACGGGUGAGACCACCCCGUCAACUGCGCUCACCCGUGCGUAUCUCCCUCUGUUGCUGACUGGUGGGCCCCCUCGGCAGUCAGUUCUUCUUCCCAUCGAGCGCAACUCAAACAGAAUCCUAACCAAAUCUGAUUCCACGCCGCGUGUGUCGGGAUCUGCCACCAACCCCGUCGUUAUCUGGUCCAUAGCCAUGGCUAUAUAGGCGAGAACUGAGGAUCAAUCGCUGGCAAGAAAAGAGAUAGAGAGAGUUGGAUCCGUCGUCCAAACUCCGGCUAACCAGCAUCUGGCCCUCGGGAUAGGUCCACGCGUAUUCUGGGCCUUGCCAAGCUCUGGGAUGGUCGUGGGGUGGCGCGCGCGCUCGCCGUCGAGUAGGCCUCCCUGUGGAGCCACAUCUCGCCAUGGGGGAAGUUAUCCACUGCUCCACCGUCGGUCAAGAACAGGUACCGCAGGAUGAUGCGCAUGAAGGAUGUUGUGAUGAGUUCAUGAGUGGUCUAGACCAUCGUCUCCCAGUCAACUAUGGUUGCUGGAUCGAUGUAUUCGUAUGAUGUAUUUAUUUAUUUAUUUUGUAUAGAACUCCUAUAGUAAAGAUGUGACAUUCGUUUCUGUAGCAUGAGCCAUCAUAUGUGUGAGGCUUGAUCCCAGCAUACUUGGUGAUUAUUUUUACGCCCGGGUUUUGGUGCCCCUAGAACCCGGGUGUGACAAUGUGCAAAACAAUAAAUAUAAUAAGCAAAAGCUAGCUGUUUCAUAAUCAAAGUUUUGAACCCUUAAA